UAGGGAAUCUUCCGCAAUGGACGCAAGACUGACGGAGCAACGCCGCGUGAGUGAAGAAGGAUUUCGGUUCGUAAAACUCUGUUGUUAGAGAAGAACAGCGCAUAGAGAAACUGUUAUGCGUGUGACGGUAUCUAACCAGAAAGCCACGGCUAACUACGUGCCAGCAGCCGCGGUAAUACGUAGGUGGCAAGCGUUGUCCGGAUUUAUUGGGCGUAAAGCGAGCGCAGGCGGUCAAUUAAGUCUGAUGUGAAAGCCCCCGGCUCAACCGGGGAGGGUACUUGGAAGCGGGUUGACUUGAGUGCAGAAGAGGAGAGUGGAAUUCCAUGUGUAGCGGUGAAAUGCUUAGUUUUAUGGAGGAACACCAGUGGCGAAGACGACUCUCUGGUCUGUAACUGACGCUGAGGCUCGAAAGCGUGGGUAGCAAACAGG
This 429-nucleotide ribosomal RNA is filed under the name Bacteroidota bacterium. RNAcentral describes it as "Bacteroidetes bacterium partial 16S ribosomal RNA". It matches the Rfam family "Bacterial small subunit ribosomal RNA", at positions 355 to 776 of the family's 1533-position model. Lineage: Bacteria; Pseudomonadati; Bacteroidota. The record is from RNAcentral.